GAUUAUGGCUCAGGAUGAACGCUGGCGGCGUGCUUAACACAUGCAAGUCGAACGGAGUUUAGAUGAAAGCUUGCUUUGACUAAACUUAGUGGCGGACGGGUGAGUAACGCGUGGGUAACCUGCCUUAUACAGGGGGAUAACAGUCGGAAACGACUGCUAAUACCGCAUAAGCGCACGGAAUCGCAUGAUUCAGUGUGAAAAAGAUUUAUCGGUAUAAGAUGGACCCGCGUCUGAUUAGCUAGUUGGUGAGGUAACGGCCCACCAAGGCGACGAUCAGUAGCCGGCCUGAGAGGGUGAACGGCCACAUUGGGACUGAGACACGGCCCAAACUCCUACGGGAGGCAGCAGUGGGGAAUAUUGCACAAUGGGGGAAACCCUGAUGCAAGCGACGCCGCGUGAGUGAAGAAGUAUUUCGGUAUGUAAAGCUCUAUCAGCAGGGAAGAAAAUGACGGUACCUGACUAAGAAGCCCCGGCUAACUACGUGCCAGCCGCAGC
RNAcentral lists this ribosomal RNA (495 nucleotides) under uncultured bacterium. RNAcentral describes it as "bacterial SSU rRNA". It matches the Rfam family "Bacterial small subunit ribosomal RNA", at positions 15 to 518 of the family's 1533-position model. The record is from RNAcentral.